Molecule: ribosomal RNA, 253 nt
Filed under: uncultured bacterium
Lineage: Bacteria
Description: partial 16S ribosomal RNA
Rfam family: Bacterial small subunit ribosomal RNA
Source: RNAcentral
UACGUAGGGGGCGAGCGUUGUCCGGAGUUACUGGGCGUAAAGGGCGUGCAGGCGGUCUGGUAAGUUUGGAGUGACAGUACCCGGCUCAACUGGGUAAGGCCUUCGAAAACUGUCAGACUUGAGGACCAGAGAGGGACAUAGAAUUCCGGGUGGAGUGGUGAAAUGCGUAGAUAUCCGGAGGAAUACCAAAGGCGAAGGCAGUGUCCUGGAUGGUAACUGACGCUGAGGCGCGAAAGCUAGGGGAGCGAACAGG